RNAcentral lists this ribosomal RNA (497 nucleotides) under uncultured bacterium. RNAcentral describes it as "partial 16S ribosomal RNA". It matches the Rfam family "Bacterial small subunit ribosomal RNA", at positions 28 to 507 of the family's 1533-position model. The record is from RNAcentral.
GAUGAACGCUGGCGGCGUGCCUAAUACAUGCAAGUCGAGCGAACAGACGAGGAGCUUGCUCCUCUGACGUUAGCGGCGGACGGGUGAGUAACACGUGGAUAACCUACCUAUAAGACUGGGAUAACUUCGGGAAACCGGAGCUAAUACCGGAUAAUAUAUUGAACCGCAUGGUUCAAUAGUGAAAGACGGUUUUGCUGUCACUUAUAGAUGGAUCCGCGCGGCAUUAGCUAGUUGGUAAGGUAACGGCUUACCAAGGCAACGAUGCGUAGCCGACCUGAGAGGGUGAUCGGCCACACUGGAACUGAGACACGGUCCAGACUCCUACGGGAGGCAGCAGUAGGGAAUCUUCCGCAAUGGGCGAAAGCCUGACGGAGCAACGCCGCGUGAGUGAUGAAGGUCUUCGGAUCGUAAAACUCUGUUAUUAGGGAAGAACAAAUGUGUAAGUAACUAUGCACGUCUUGACGGUACCUAAUCAGAAAGCCACGGCUAACUACGUG